UGGAAUGUGGCCCAUUUGUUCUUUUACAUUA
Molecule: non-coding RNA, 31 nt
Filed under: Mus musculus (house mouse)
Lineage: Eukaryota; Metazoa; Chordata; Mammalia; Rodentia; Muridae
Source: RNAcentral